Long non-coding RNA from Zerene cesonia (dogface butterfly), 625 nucleotides. RefSeq lists it as uncharacterized. The record is from RefSeq and is a predicted model, not a curated record. The transcript has 2 exons. Lineage: Eukaryota; Metazoa; Arthropoda; Insecta; Lepidoptera; Pieridae.
AAUUACUUAAGUGGUUCCUCUUAUAUUUAAGCGAAGCUCGCCCGCCCUCAUCGCAUUCAGCGAGUCGAUUGCAAUAUUUUUGCGAAAUGUCUCGUAAACUCUUAACAUCGUUUCUGUUGUUGGGAACACUGAAUUUUAUGUUGGUUGCCGUUGCAGCUGUUGUAGGUGGAUCAUCGCAGUCUCCUACACAGAGCGAAGUGGACAGUUCAAUCGAAAAUGCUUUCAAUGAGGUACUGAACAAAGGUUCGGAAUACUUGUCGGGUCUGAUAAACAGUGGAUCGAGUUAGCCUGGGAGCCAUUUAAUUGGAGCCAGUUCUACCAAGUUAUUAUCAUAAAAAAACAUAAUAUUAUCUUAGUCAAGUUUAAAUUUUCAAAUUAUAUGUGAAGUUUCGUUUUAAAUAAAACAAAUAAUGCUUGUUAAUUCCUCUUUCUAUUAUCUAUAAAAGUUCAUCGCUAGCUUUAAAUUGUAAAAUAAUGACGAGGUAAGUGGUAACCGCUCCCAGCAUCUGGAAAAUGUAAAAACGUCAUAACUUAUACAGCUGCGUUAUCAAUCGGCAUUAGGGAAUCGCGUGUUUAACAUUGUAUAAACUUAAGCGAGUGAUAAAAUUAAACAGUAAUGUAUUAG